This 373-nucleotide ribosomal RNA is filed under the name uncultured organism. RNAcentral describes it as "partial 16S ribosomal RNA". It matches the Rfam family "Bacterial small subunit ribosomal RNA", at positions 527 to 896 of the family's 1533-position model. The record is from RNAcentral.
GAACCGUCCAAACGUUAUUCGGAAUCACUGGGCUUAAAGGGUGCGUAGGCGGCCUGGAAAGUUGGGGUGUGAAAUCCCUCGGCUCAACCGAGGAAUUGCGCUCAAAACUUCCAGACUUGAGGGAGAUAGAGGUGAGCGGAACUUAAGGUGGAGCGGUGAAAUGCGUUGAUAUCUUAAGGAACACCGGUGGCGAAAGCGGCUCACUGGAUCUCUUCUGGCGCUGAGGCACGAAAGCUAGGGUAGCGAACGGGAUUAGAUACCCCGGUAGUCCUAGCUGUAAACGAUGAGCACUGGGUCGGAGGCCCCCCCAUAGGCUUCCGGCCGAAGCGAAAGUGUUAAGUGCUCCGCCUGGGGAGUAUGGUCGCAAAGGCUG